UCUCCCCCCUCUAAUCAGUGAAACUGAUCUCCCCGUGAAGAAGCGGGGAUAUACAUAUAAGACGAGAAGACCCCAUGGAGCUUUAAACCUGACAGCACCCGCUCAUUCUAUACCCCAUUAUUUGCCCGACCCCUGUCUGCUCAGUUUUAGGUUGGGGUGACCACGGAGUAUAAAAUAACCUCCAUGAAGAAGGGGAUAUUUCCCUUAUUAGAGAACCACACUUCCAAGAACUAAUAAAUUAAUUUUCAAUGACCCGAUACCCGAUAAUCGAUCAACGAACCAAGUUACCCUGGGGAUAACAGCGCAAUCCACCCUGAAAGCCCUUAUUAACAGGUGGGUUUACGACCUCGAUGUUGGAUCAGGGUAUCCCAGUGGUGCAGCAGCUACUGAGGGUUCGUUUGUUCAACGAUUAAAACCCU
RNAcentral lists this ribosomal RNA (419 nucleotides) under Boophis quasiboehmei. Its description in RNAcentral is "partial 16S ribosomal RNA". It matches the Rfam family "Bacterial large subunit ribosomal RNA", at positions 2019 to 2597 of the family's 2925-position model. The record is from RNAcentral. Lineage: Eukaryota; Metazoa; Chordata; Amphibia; Anura; Mantellidae.